Molecule: ribosomal RNA, 645 nt
Filed under: uncultured Actinomycetes bacterium
Lineage: Bacteria; Bacillati; Actinomycetota; Actinomycetes
Description: bacterial SSU rRNA
Rfam family: Bacterial small subunit ribosomal RNA
Source: RNAcentral
CGCGGCCUAUCAGCUUGUUGGUGGGGCAGUGGCCUACCAAGGCGACGACGGGUAGCCGGCCUGAGAGGGUGACCGGCCACACUGGGACUGAGACACGGCCCAGACUCCUACGGGAGGCAGCAGUGGGGAAUAUUGCGCAAUGGGCGGAAGCCUGACGCAGCGACGCCGCGUGGGGGAUGACGGCCUUCGGGUUGUAAACCUCUUUCAGCAGGGACGAAGCCGUGAGGUGACGGUACCUGCAGAAGAAGCACCGGCCAACUACGUGCCAGCAGCCGCGGUAAUACGUAGGGUGCAAGCGUUGUCCGGAAUUAUUGGGCGUAAAGAGCUCGUAGGCGGUUCGUCGCGUCGGCUGUGAAAUCCCGAGGCUCAACCUCGGGUCUGCAGUCGAUACGGGCGGACUGGAGUUCGGCAGGGGAGACUGGAAUUCCUGGUGUAGCGGUGAAAUGCGCAGAUAUCAGGAGGAACACCGGUGGCGAAGGCGGGUCUCUGGGCCGAUACUGACGCUGAGGAGCGAAAGCGUGGGGAGCGAACAGGAUUAGAUACCCUGGUAGUCCACGCCGUAAACGUUGGGCGCUAGGUGUGGGGGCCAUUCCACGGUCUCCGUGCCGCAGCUAACGCAUUAAGCGCCCCGCCUGGGGAGUACGG